This 1875-nucleotide ribosomal RNA is filed under the name Salmonella enterica. RNAcentral's name for it is "partial 23S ribosomal RNA". It matches the Rfam family "Bacterial large subunit ribosomal RNA", at positions 430 to 2290 of the family's 2925-position model. Lineage: Bacteria; Pseudomonadati; Pseudomonadota; Gammaproteobacteria; Enterobacterales; Enterobacteriaceae. The record is from RNAcentral. RNAcentral also lists the same sequence under 1 other name.
UAUCCUGUCUGAAUAUGGGGGGACCAUCCUCCAAGGCUAAAUACUCCUGACUGACCGAUAGUGAACCAGUACCGUGAGGGAAAGGCGAAAAGAACCCCGGCGAGGGGAGUGAAAAAGAACCUGAAACCGUGUACGUACAAGCAGUGGGAGCACCCUUUGGGUGUGACUGCGUACCUUUUGUAUAAUGGGUCAGCGACUUAUAUUCUGUAGCAAGGUUAACCGAAUAGGGGAGCCGGAGGGAAACCGAGUCUUAAUUGGGCGUUAAGUUGCAGGGUAUAGACCCGAAACCCGGUGAUCUAGCCAUGGGCAGGUUGAAGGUUGGGUAACACUAACUGGAGGACCGAACCGACUAAUGUUGAAAAAUUAGCGGAUGACCUGUGGCUGGGGGUGAAAGGCCAAUCAAACCGGGAGAUAGCUGGUUCUCCCCGAAAGCUAUUUAGGUAGCGCCUCGUGAAUUCAUCUCCGGGGGUAGAGCACUGUUUCGGCUAGGGGGCCAUCCCGGCUUACCAACCCGAUGCAAACUGCGAAUACCGGAGAAUGUUAUCACGGGAGACACACGGCGGGUGCUAACGUCCGUCGUGAAGAGGGAAACAACCCAGACCGCCAGCUAAGGUCCCAAAGUCAUGGUUAAGUGGGAAACGAUGUGGGAAGGCCCAGACAGCCAGGAUGUUGGCUUAGAAGCAGCCAUCAUUUAAAGAAAGCGUAAUAGCUCACUGGUCGAGUCGGCCUGCGCGGAAGAUGUAACGGGGCUAAACCAUGCACCGAAGCUGCGGCAGCGACACUGUGUGUUGUUGGGUAGGGGAGCGUUCUGUAAGCCUGUGAAGGUGUGUCGUGAGGCAUGCUGGAGGUAUCAGAAGUGCGAAUGCUGACAUAAGUAACGAUAAAGCGGGUGAAAAGCCCGCUCGCCGGAAGACCAAGGGUUCCUGUCCAACGUUAAUCGGGGCAGGGUGAGUCGACCCCUAAGGCGAGGCCGAAAGGCGUAGUCGAUGGGAAACGGGUUAAUAUUCCCGUACUUGGUGUUACUGCGAAGGGGGGACGGAGAAGGCUAUGUUGGCCGGGCGACGGUUGUCCCGGUUUAAGCGUGUAGGUGUGUGUUCCAGGUAAAUCCGGUUCACUUUAACACUGAGGCGUGACGACGAGGCACUACGGUGCUGAAGCAACAAAUGCCCUGCUUCCAGGAAAAGCCUCUAAGCAUCAGGUAACAUCAAAUCGUACCCCAAACCGACACAGGUGGUCAGGUAGAGAAUACCAAGGCGCUUGAGAGAACUCGGGUGAAGGAACUAGGCAAAAUGGUGCCGUAACUUCGGGAGAAGGCACGCUGACACGUAGGUGAAGUGAUUUACUCAUGGAGCUGAAGUCAGUCGAAGAUACCAGCUGGCUGCAACUGUUUAUUAAAAACACAGCACUGUGCAAACACGAAAGUGGACGUAUACGGUGUGACGCCUGCCCGGUGCCGGAAGGUUAAUUGAUGGGGUCAGCGCAAGCGAAGCUCCUGAUCGAAGCCCCGGUAAACGGCGGCCGUAACUAUAACGGUCCUAAGGUAGCGAAAUUCCUUGUCGGGUAAGUUCCGACCUGCACGAAUGGCGUAAUGAUGGCCAGGCUGUCUCCACCCGAGACUCAGUGAAAUUGAACUCGCUGUGAAGAUGCAGUGUACCCGCGGCAAGACGGAAAGACCCCGUGAACCUUUACUAUAGCUUGACACUGAACAUUGAGCCUUGAUGUGUAGGAUAGGUGGGAGGCUUUGAAGUGUGGACGCCAGUCUGCAUGGAGCCGACCUUGAAAUACCACCCUUUAAUGUUUGAUGUUCUAACGUGGACCCGUUACCCGGGUUGCGGACAGUGUCUGGUGGGUAGUUUGACUGGGGCGGUCUCCUCC